This is a non-coding RNA of Triticum aestivum (bread wheat), 106 nucleotides long. The record is from Rfam. Lineage: Eukaryota; Viridiplantae; Streptophyta; Magnoliopsida; Poales; Poaceae.
GGGAAAUGUGGAGUGCUACAGGCUCGCUUAAUUAUGCGAGAGGGGUGCCCGCCCCAAUAAGCCUGUUACGACACUGGGGCAUCCCCAUGUUUUACCAUCUAAUCCU